UUAACGGAGAGUUUGAUCCUGGCUCAGGACGAACGCUGGCGGCGUGCCUAAUACAUGCAAGUCGAGCGGAGAGAAGGGAGCUUGCUCCCGGACGUUAGCGGCGGACGGGUGAGUAUCACGUGGGCAACCUGCCCCUUAGACUGGGAUAACUCCGGGAAACCGGAGCUAAUACCGGAUAAUCCCUUUCUCCACCUGGAGAGAGGGUGAAAGAUGGCUUCGGCUAUCACUAGGGGAUGGGCCCGCGGCGCAUUAGCUAGUUGGUAAGGUAACGGCUUACCAAGGCGACGAUGCGUAGCCGACCUGAGAGGGUGAUCGGCCACACUGGGACUGAGACACGGCCCAGACUCCUACGGGAGGCAGCAGUAGGGAAUCUUCCGCAAUGGACGAAAGUCUGACGGAGCAACGCCGCGU
Molecule: ribosomal RNA, 411 nt
Filed under: Shouchella clausii
Lineage: Bacteria; Bacillati; Bacillota; Bacilli; Caryophanales; Bacillaceae
Description: bacterial SSU rRNA
Rfam family: Bacterial small subunit ribosomal RNA
Source: RNAcentral